AAAUAUAGGGACAUUACAGACAGAUAAUUGAUUUUAAAAAAACCGAAACCAGCGCAGAAGCGCUAGCUCUGCCCGCGUUGGAAGGGACGGUGAUUUGUCUCGGAAAAAUUCAGCACUACGAAAAAAUCCCUCUGCAGUCUGUGUCGCCUUGGAUCGAUAGGAUACCAUAAAUUGCCUGGUGCCUGUCACCGACGAGCAGUACUGUGGAGUUAGUUUAUCUUUACAUUAAAUCUGGGACAUAUUAACUGUUCCCUGGUCUAAAGCCCGUCUGCUCUGCCUGCUCCAGCCGCGACUGGAGCUGAAGGAAAUCAGAUGUGCGAGCGCGGUCGAAACGCGCUAAGCCGGCGGAUCCUGCAGGAGUUUAGACGCCGUCGCGGUGGGGACGGGCGCGGUGGGCAGAGCAAGGCAGGGGGCGGACGGCGCCGGGGCCGGGGCGCCCGGGGAGGCUCCCGCCCGCCCACGGCGCCCUCCGCGGCCCGGCUCCGCGCCCCCGCCGCCCCCGCGCAGCCGGGACGCCCGCGGCACCGCCACCGGCGCCCCCGCCCCGGCCGGGCCCGCAGGGAAGGAAAUGCAAAGGGACGUUUAUGCGUGGAAAAAAUGCGACGCGCAAAACAAACAAGCAAGGUUACUUAAGGACUUUAUGGCCACAAAACAACUCCGUAGGCUGCUUUAGAAGCUGCCUUUACGGUCGCUGUUUGGAAGACUUCCCUUGAACGGUGCGCGGCUGUCGCUGCAGAAUCGGGCCUCCUUUUCCCUCGCAGACACUGGCCGCCUCGACGAGCUCCCCUGAAACAUGACACUGCUCCGAGACGCCAUAUAAAAGAAUAGGCUUUGUUGGAGAGAUACAGGCGAGAGGGGCAGAAAACUCAGCAGCCUCCGUCGGCAGGGCCAAGCAAUGGGAUCAGCUGCCCGGGAAGGGCUCGGGCUUGCAAGCGACACGCGAGGCGCCGCGUUCAGCUGAUACUGGCCGCUCCGGAUUUUUACAAACAGCAUUUCUUCUGAGCGACAGAAAAGCCGAGCCUCUAGGCGAAAGCCAUUAAUGCUUUUCUCGUUUCCAGGGAGGGGUAUUUCACCAUCAGCUAUAAAUAAACCGAAAUAAUUGUA
This is a long non-coding RNA of Dromaius novaehollandiae (emu), 1104 nucleotides long. RefSeq lists it as uncharacterized. The record is from RefSeq and is a predicted model, not a curated record. The transcript has 3 exons. NCBI's taxonomy places the organism in Eukaryota, Metazoa, Chordata, Aves, Casuariiformes, Dromaiidae.